AACGAAGAGGUAUCGUAAUUGAAGAGGUUUGGAAAGACCCACCACAGAAGGUAAUAGUCCUGUAUGUUAAACGAGAAGACUUUAGAUAUGAUCCAGAGUACUACGGGACACGUGAAACCCUGUGGGAAGCAGGAGGGACCACCCUCCAAGGCUAAAUACUACCUAGUGACCGAUAGCGUAUAGUACCGUGAGGGAAAGGUGAAA
Molecule: ribosomal RNA, 204 nt
Filed under: Clostridioides difficile
Lineage: Bacteria; Bacillati; Bacillota; Clostridia; Peptostreptococcales; Peptostreptococcaceae
Description: partial 23S ribosomal RNA
Rfam family: Bacterial large subunit ribosomal RNA
Source: RNAcentral